AUGGCUUACUAUUCAGAUCAUCAGGCUUAUGCGAGCAACACUACAAACAGCACGGAAAGUGUUCAAGAACUGAUAGGUAAGAUUUCCCAUCGAUUAGAUGAUUUAGCUCGGCAGCGAGAAGUAGUUUUUGAGGAUAGGCCUAGCUCUUAUGAUCCUUAUUCUAGAGGCCAUCCUUAUGUUGCUCCUACCUGCCAUAUUUGUGGAUUUCAGGGCCAUUCGCCCGCUGAAUGUCAGCGUGGUUACUUCCAUCCUCUGGAUUGUUUUGGCAUGAGCUUUGCUCAACAGCAUAGCUCAUACCAAAACAAUUACACACAUGGGUGGCCUGAAAACCAGAAUAUGUCAUAUAGGAGCAAUAUCCCUGAGAUCUCACCGUUUGCUUCUAGUAAUCAUAUGCAGGGAUUUAGGUAUGAAGAGGAGAGCCACAACUAUGGUCCACAACAGAUUUAUUCAGCUCCUACUCAUAUACCUCAACACCAGGACAUGUUGCCAAUGGAGUUAAAUGGUCCUCCAUUUGGUCAACCAACAUCUUCAACACAAGUGCCCACUCAAGAUGAGUUCGAUGACAUAGACAAGCUCACACUUUUGAGUCUCGAGUUCACCUGGAGUGCCGAGGAUGAUCCUAUUAGGAAGGUGAUACUUGAGGAAAUGAAGAAGAUUAAGAGUGGAAAGGAGCUAGUGGAAGAAGUAAGGAAGAUUGAGAAGAACAUCAAUGCUGGCAGUACUAUCUCUUCCCUCCUUGAGUUGAGUGUGGCCGAGAUUCCCCUUGAUACAUGUGAGGUUCCAACACCGUCACAUCCAGUUGAGCAAGAUAGCAAGAGUCCUGAGGAAGAAAGACCUCAGAUUGAAGAAGAUGAACUAGAAGACAAGGAACAAGAUGGUCAAGAGCUGCAAUUCCCAACUGAUCAAGUUGAAGACUCAUCAUCUAUUACUCCUGAAGAAGUACAAGAAGCUGCUGUAGAUGAAGAUGAAGAACAUGAGAUUCAUUUACCUAUUGUCAUACCAGAGCAUGAUGUGUCAGGUUUACCCAAUCCUCUCAAUGACAUGCGUCCUUAUGAUUCCUUUGCUUCUACCUUGCAUUGCAUGAUGCCAUCUGUUAAAGUAGAUUUGAAAAAGUAUUUGCUUGGAUAUGAUCAUAUAUACCCUAUUAGUGGCAUUACUCACAUUAAUGAUGAUCACAGUUACUUUCCUCGUGCUAGACCUAUGCUUAAUGAAACAUAUCAUUCUUAUGCUAGUCUUGAGCUUAAUGAAAAAUAUCAUCCUCAUGUUAGUGUUGACUUUGUUGAUUUCUAUCAUCCUAAACAUGUGCUUUAUAGCUAUGCUUAUGUAAUUGGAUAUUCGAUUGAUGACUUGGAGGGUAUUAUCCCUACCACUUGCAUUGUCUCUUUCGUUGAGUGCUCUUUCAGGUUUUUGCUUGUGCACGAUCCAUUACAUGCUGACCAGGUUCGAGGUGACAUUCCUUGGGACCCUGGUGGACUCAGAGCAUGGGGAUGA
RNAcentral lists this ribosomal RNA (1491 nucleotides) under Triticum aestivum (bread wheat). RNAcentral describes it as "partial small subunit ribosomal RNA". The record is from RNAcentral. Lineage: Eukaryota; Viridiplantae; Streptophyta; Magnoliopsida; Poales; Poaceae.